Molecule: ribosomal RNA, 423 nt
Filed under: uncultured bacterium
Lineage: Bacteria
Description: bacterial SSU rRNA
Rfam family: Bacterial small subunit ribosomal RNA
Source: RNAcentral
AUCUUCCGCAAUGGACGAAAGUCUGACGGAGCAACGCCGCGUGAGUGAUGAAGGCUUUCGGGUCGUAAAACUCUGUUGUUAGGGAAGAACAAGUGCUAGUUGAAUAAGCUGGCACCUUGACGGUACCUAACCAGAAAGCCACGGCUAACUACGUGCCAGCAGCCGCGGUAAUACGUAGGUGGCAAGCGUUAUCCGGAAUUAUUGGGCGUAAAGCGCGGGCAGGGGGUUUCUUUAGUCUGAUGUGAAGGCCCACGGCUCAACCGUGGAGGGUCAUUGGAAACGAGGAGACCUGAGUGGAGAAGAGGAAAGUGGAAUUCCAUGUGUAGCGGUGAAAUGCGUAGAGAUAUGGAGGAACACCAGUGGCGAAGGCGACUUUCUGGUCUGUAACUGACACUGAGGCGCGAAAGCGUGGGGAGCAAACAG